This 275-nucleotide ribosomal RNA is filed under the name uncultured Planctomyces sp. Its description in RNAcentral is "partial 16S ribosomal RNA". It matches the Rfam family "Bacterial small subunit ribosomal RNA", at positions 338 to 608 of the family's 1533-position model. Lineage: Bacteria; Pseudomonadati; Planctomycetota; Planctomycetia; Planctomycetales; Planctomycetaceae. The record is from RNAcentral.
CCUACGGGUGGCUGCAGUCGAGAAUCUUCGGCAAUGGGCGCAAGCCUGACCGAGCGACGCCGCGUGCGGGAUGAAGGCCCUUGGGUUGUAAACCGCUGUCAGAGGGGAUGAAAUGUAUGUGGGCACUCCCAUGUAUUUGACAUAGCCUCAGAGGAAGCACGGGCUAAGUUCGUGCCAGCAGCCGCGGUAAUACGAACUGUGCAAACGUUAUUCGGAAUCACUGGGCUUAAAGGGUGCGUAGGCGGCUCAUUAAGUAGGGUGUGAAAGCCCCCGGC